GCAGUAGCCACGGGAAUACGUAGGGUGCAAGCGUUAAUCGGAAUUACUGGGCGUAAAGCGUGCGCAGGCGGUUAUAUAAGACAGAUGUGAAAUCCCCGGGCUCAACCUGGGAACUGCAUUUGUGACUGUAUAGCUAGAGUACGGCAGAGGGGGAUGGAAUUCCGCGUGUAGCAGUGAAAUGCGUAGAUAUGCGGAGGAACACCGAUGGCGAAGGCAAUCCCCUGGGCCUGUACUGACGCUCAUGCACGAAAGCGUGGGGAGCAAACAGGAUUAGAUACCCGCGUAGUCCCUGUCUCUUAUAC
RNAcentral lists this ribosomal RNA (302 nucleotides) under uncultured bacterium. RNAcentral's name for it is "partial 16S ribosomal RNA". It matches the Rfam family "Bacterial small subunit ribosomal RNA", at positions 508 to 807 of the family's 1533-position model. The record is from RNAcentral.